Molecule: long non-coding RNA, 1422 nt
Filed under: Vigna radiata
Lineage: Eukaryota; Viridiplantae; Streptophyta; Magnoliopsida; Fabales; Fabaceae
Description: long non-coding RNA (VRAD_LNC009023)
Source: RNAcentral
GUCACUGUAGAACUGCUUGUUCCAAUUCCACAUGCUGCCUAUUUCCCCUUUUUAAUUAGGUUUUCAUUUCGGAACAAAAAAUGCUUAACUGAGACGUGUUUGGUUUCUUACUUCUCUAUUAAGUGUUUGUUUUUGUUGUGUUUGUGAUUUUCAGACAAUGAGAUGGAAUAAGCGAUGAAGAGGCAAUGUAAAAUUAAUUUGUAUGGAACUGCUUUUCCACUGAAGGAGGAGCUUGACAAGCAAAUAUUGUCUAGGUACCUGCUUUUGGAUUCGAUUAAUCUAUUGCAUAUUUUGGUAUAGUUUCUUAGAGUGUUUCGAAAUUUAAAGCGUUUCAGUAGUGAUAAUUUGACAUGAGUCCCUGUUUGUGUCGAUGGUUGCUGGUUAAUCCAUUCCUUGAUUUUCAGGCACAAAUCAUAUGCAUCUCUAUAUACGGGGCAUGGUGUAAGACCCGAGUUUUUAUUUGGUGUAUUUUGUUGAGAUGCAUGCUAUAUUUUUGUAAGAGUCGACUAUGGAUAGUUUGCUAAAUGAUAUAGACUCCAUAUACUUCUUGUUGGUCUAUGGUUUGUGACCGAUGAGCUUGAUUGCAAAUAUAUGUUAAGACUACAUGUUUCCUCUAAUUGCUAUAUGUAGUUGAUGGUGUGAGACUAAAUUUUUCCUUGGGAGGGCUGGAUGUGUAUAAAACACAAACAUUUUCUUUAAGUAAAGGAGAGAGAAAACAACAAGGAAGAAAGGAGUGAACGUGAGAGUUUUGGUGUGCAUUUGAGAGGCUGAGAAUCCAAGAGAAACAUGAGGCUUAAACCAACAAAGAAGGGACUGGGAAACUUAAGAGAAUCAGAGAACUUUGGCAGGAGAAAUUGGUAAGGGGAGCUGGCAGAAUCUUGUAUCCUGUGAUUUUUGGCAUGAUGAUUAUGAAUGAGUAUACAUAUUUGUGGUUGGAUGCGUUUCUGAUAUUGUUAUUACUAUCAUUAUGGACUUCUUUGAUGCAUUUUUUUUGCUAUACGUAUGAGUUGUAGAUGAUUUACAUGGUAAGCAUGUGUUGAUAUGUGUUUAAUAUGUGGAUGAUGGUUUGCAUGUAAAAGUUUAUUGUUGUAGUAAGACUUUAAUAAAAAUGGAAAUAGUACUCUAAGACAGCCAGAUGAGUUUGGCAAAGUAAAACUUUGGUAGAGGUCGCUGAAUUUGGUUGAAAGAUGAACUAAGUUGGAAGUAGUUUGUAGUGGUGCAAAUUCUGGAAAAUGUUUACAGAUGUUGGAGAGUUUUUCGGAAUGGUGCAAUAUAUCUUAUGAUGUAGUAACCUUUAGAUGGUUGUUCCAUUGCUUAAAAUUCCUAGAGAACUUUAUCUCAAAGGUUAGCAGAAAAAUUAAAAUGGAGAGGCAGAGUUAAUUGGCUGAACUUUUUAUGAGAAUUCAGCUUUCCGUUUGCUUG